AGGCUUUUUGGAGCUUCCAGUUGGAGCUCGCAGGCUGGACACGGAGGGCAGGCUCUCCCCGGGAGGACAGACUGACGGCCCCGGUGAGAGGAAGAUGAAGGUCCUGCUGGCGCUGAUGAUGCUCUUUGCCUGCAGUGUGUUCACAGCUCACGGGAAGCACCCGCGCGCGUUCACACCGGGACUCGAGGGAAGCACCGUAGGAAACCUGACUGCCC
This 215-nucleotide long non-coding RNA is filed under the name Malurus cyaneus samueli. Its description in RNAcentral is "lncRNA (ENSMCSG00000010491.1)". Lineage: Eukaryota; Metazoa; Chordata; Aves; Passeriformes; Maluridae. The record is from RNAcentral.